ACGGAAGGCAGCAGUGGGGAAUAUUGGACAAUGGGGGAAACCCUGAUCCAGCGACGCCGCGUGAGUGGAGAAGUAUUUCGGUAUGUAAAGCUCUAUCAGCAAGGAAGAAAAUGACGGUACUUGACUAAGAAGCCCCGGCUAACUACGUGCCAGCAGCCGCGGUAAUACGUAGGGGGCAAGCGUUAUCCGGAUUUACUGGGUGUAAAGGGAGCGUAGACGGUAUGGCAAGUCUGAAGUGAAAUGCAUGGGCUCAACCCAUGAACUGCUUUGGAAACUGUCAAACUAGAGUGCAGGAGAGGUAAGUGGAAUUCCUAGUGUAGCGGUGAAAUGCGUAGAUAUUAGGAGGAACACCGGUGGCGAAGGCGGCUUUCUGGACUGUAACUGACGCUGAGGCACGAAAGCGUGGGGAGCAAACAGGAUUAGAUACCCUGGUA
RNAcentral lists this ribosomal RNA (434 nucleotides) under uncultured Lachnospiraceae bacterium. RNAcentral's name for it is "partial 16S ribosomal RNA". It matches the Rfam family "Bacterial small subunit ribosomal RNA", at positions 341 to 792 of the family's 1533-position model. Lineage: Bacteria; Bacillati; Bacillota; Clostridia; Lachnospirales; Lachnospiraceae. The record is from RNAcentral.